RNAcentral lists this transfer RNA (72 nucleotides) under Diaphorina citri (Asian citrus psyllid). It matches the Rfam family "tRNA". Rfam says of the family: Transfer RNA (tRNA) molecules are approximately 80 nucleotides in length. Their secondary structure includes four short double-helical elements and three loops (D, anti-codon, and T loops). The record is from Rfam by way of RNAcentral. Lineage: Eukaryota; Metazoa; Arthropoda; Insecta; Hemiptera; Psyllidae.
GCCUGGUUAGCUUAGUUGGUAGCGCGUCUGCCUUGUGAGCGCUAGGCCGCGGGUUCGAUUCCCGCCCGGGCC